GUUAGUCAAAAAGGUAUGGCUAUGGUGGGCUCCAAAGACAAUUCAAUGCUUCUACAAUUUUCUUCAAACAUUGCGGCCAAUCUUUCAACAACUGCUGCAGAUACUAUUCAUUUGGAGGCAGUCUUUUGCCUAUAAAUAGAGAAGGCAGAAACCUGCAAAAACCACCCCAAAACCCCCAGAACAACACCAGAGAAGGGUGUGAUAUUAGAGAGAG
Molecule: long non-coding RNA, 214 nt
Filed under: Salvia miltiorrhiza (redroot sage)
Lineage: Eukaryota; Viridiplantae; Streptophyta; Magnoliopsida; Lamiales; Lamiaceae
Description: long non-coding RNA (SMIL_LNC008843)
Source: RNAcentral